This 618-nucleotide ribosomal RNA is filed under the name uncultured bacterium. RNAcentral describes it as "bacterial SSU rRNA". It matches the Rfam family "Bacterial small subunit ribosomal RNA", at positions 9 to 587 of the family's 1533-position model. The record is from RNAcentral.
GAGUUUGAUCCUGGCUCAGGACGAACGCUGGCGGCGUGCCUAAUACAUGCAAGUCGAGCGAGCUUGCCUAGAUGAUUUUAGUGCUUGCACUAAAUGAAACUAGAUACAAGCGAGCGGCGGACGGGUGAGUAACACGUGGGUAACCUGCCCAAGAGACUGGGAUAACACCUGGAAACAGAUGCUAAUACCGGAUAACAACACUAGACGCAUGUCUAGAGUUUGAAAGAUGGUUCUGCUAUCACUCUUGGAUGGACCUGCGGUGCAUUAGCUAGUUGGUAAGGUAACGGCUUACCAAGGCAAUGAUGCAUAGCCGAGUUGAGAGACUGAUCGGCCACAUUGGGACUGAGACACGGCCCAAACUCCUACGGGAGGCAGCAGUAGGGAAUCUUCCACAAUGGACGAAAGUCUGAUGGAGCAACGCCGCGUGAGUGAAGAAGGGUUUCGGCUCGUAAAGCUCUGUUGGUAGUGAAGAAAGAUAGAGGUAGUAACUGGCCUUUAUUUGACGGUAAUUACUUAGAAAGUCACGGCUAACUACGUGCCAGCAGCCGCGGUAAUACGUAGGUGGCAAGCGUUGUCCGGAUUUAUUGGGCGUAAAGCGAGUGCAGGCGGUUCAAUAAG